AGACAGCUGCACUCACCUUGUUACCUGCCAGGUGAGACACGGAAAAGACAUUCAGUCCUCAGAAUGAAUUCCACCCUCGCGCUGAAUAAAGCAGCUCGUUCAUUAGUCUCGUGCUACCUGAGUGAUUGGAAGACAGGGUUUUGCAGUAUUUGUGUUAUCCGCACAGCUGGAAACUUUGCCUGGGUAUUUAUGUGCUCAAAAAUUUCAGUCAUUGUUUCUGGUCGUGUGUGUAAAGCAGGCUACAUCAAUGCCAACUAAAGCUGACACAAUGGAGUUGUGGAUGAUUUGUUAACUGUUUGAUCCACAGCCGUUUUCAGGUUGAGGUGGAAAAUCUAUUUUGGUAAAGUAAAACUGAAAUGGAUGCCAGCCUGAAACACUGCUGAGCUAAACUGUCUGGACAACAUAGCCUAAAUGUUGCAUCAUGACUGUAGAAUUGUACAAUAUCUAGAGUUGUAUGGAUAUUAUAGUUAAACAAUUUAUAAUCUUCAUUUUUAACACAGCUGACAUCUGACUGUAGGAGUGGGACAGGUUACUUGUCUGAUCUGAAAACCCUUUAAUCUCUACAGCAGCCACUUUUCUGUUGUGGAGGUGUAGCUCCAGUAGUUUGGUUGUGACAUCUCUCUCUGAGGGCAUGGCCGCGGUGUUACCACAUAAAAGCAGGCAUCAGUAUGUCAGGUAUGUUGGUGAACCAGAUCCACUCAGCCUUUUCUCAGAUGAAGGGUGUGACUGUACUUUCCUGGAGAUUGGCAUGGUUUAUUAAAAAUGCUGUCAAUAAAAGACUACCCGAGAGAAUUAUUGUACAAUAAAUCCACUGAGCACAUGAUAGAUGAGUCACAAGUAAAGAGAUGAAAGAAAAUGUCCUGGAUCAAAGUAUUUGUUUUUUGUCGAUUUAAAAGAAAAAUGAUUGCAUGUUGGCUUGUAUUAAAUGUACAUUUGUGUAUCUGUUACAACAGAAAUAAACAUGACAAAUAAACACUUGGAAAGCACUUAAUACUGUAUACAGAGUUUUCGUGUCUCACUAAUCUUUUAGCUAUGGUGUAACGUUUGUAUGCAUAACAGCUGGGGUCAACAGGUCUCUUCAAACUGGGAUCCCUUUUUUUGGUAUUGCUGAGAUGCAGACCUAACUUGUGUGAAUAUUGACCAGCAUUACCUGCAUUAACACUGGUAACCGGUGAGUCAGAUGGGUGUGACACAAAUCUAGAAUGAUUUAAUUAAUGUUGAGGUAUUUUUUUAAUUUGGAAUGUAGAUUUGUUCAGGGUGAAAUGCGUCAGUGCCAGGAGGGAGAGUUCAAAUGAAGAGAAUAUUAAAACAUCUUUUUGCUGUUGUGGGCAGUUUGUCUAUCGUUUUACCGGUAGUGUCUUGUGGUUAGGGGACAUUCUGGAAAUUAAAGUAUGGAUAUAAAUGACUUAAAGAAACCUUAAGGUACUUAUUGAGGGUGAAUUAAAGCAUAAACCUGUUUUACUGGUAAAAUGACUUUUGUAUUAGUGACCAAAAUGACUAAUGAAAAGAGUCAAAUGCACAAACGGUGGAAAUGCUGAAAUUUAUUACAUUUUUGAGAUGCUAUAGGUAAAAUCAACUUCAUUUGUUUUACUUUAAAAAUCUGUUACAGCAAAUGCCAACACAUUAUGUGCUGAUUCAUGAUUGGUAGAUUGCAUACAAGCCCUGGAUUAAAGAAAAAUAUGUAUGUAGCACUUUGUUGACAGCACUCUAUUCCAAAAUAAUGUCUGAUGCGCAAUAUCCACAAGUUCACUACGACUCCAAUCAGAUAUCAUUUGUGUUGUUUCAAUUGUCCACAAGGUGGUGCUCUCACCAAAUACUAAAUAAGGAGUCCCACCUCGGUAGGUGUGGUUUCUCUGCUACAACCACAACUCUAGGUUUUCCCAUUUUCAAGUCCCUGAAAAAUUACAAACACAUGGCACGAAUCUCAUUAUUUCAACAGCAACUAGCACAUAUCAUAUUUCAACAACACCUGCUUGUUUGUCCUUGGCAAUACAAACAUCUUACACUUUCUCUGAACAGGGAGGGAAUCAUUUUUGAAAGAAGACAUUUUAAUACAACAAGAGGACUUGGAGGCAGCACUAAAUGUUGGAAAGACAGAAUCACAAACGUUUCGGUAAACUCAAAAGCAUGAAUGUGCUUUUUACUUUUCUUAACAUCCUUAUUAUUCAAUAUGAACAGAAAAUAAUGGAUCCCAGAGUAAUAAAAACACUAAAAUAGGUCCCUUUGAGCAGUUAUAUCUAUUUAAACUGAUCCUCUGGCCGAUUUCCCUCCAUCCAGAUGCACUUCCACUGUGGGAAUGUUUGUUUUUCUACCAGCAGGAAAUGAAGGCUGCCUUUGAGCUUUAGACAAAGAAACAGAUUGAAGUUACUGCGGGAAAGCUUUGGGGAAUGGAAAUUAAAGAAACAAAAUAAUCGGAAAAACCAACAAAACAGUGGUAAAAAAAUUAAAUAAAAAAGGGUCCCUUUAUUAAAAAAAAGAAAGAAACGUUGGACACACAAUCAAGGGACUAAUGAGAGAAUCUUGUAUUUUUCACUCUAGGGAACAUAAUUUGGUGGCACAAUUAAAAAAUAAACAAAAAUAUGAUAUUUACUUUUAAAUAAAAGAGCGUAUAUUCAAUCCCACAACAAGUGCAUAUAAGCACAAGCAUGAAUUCAGCUUUGACACAGACAAGCAAUGUACAUGCAUUUCAUUUGGGUACUGGUUCUUUUAUGGGCCAGUUUUGGUUUGCGAAUGACAAGCUGAUAAGAAAUAAUGGCAGGAAAGUGAUAUAUUUCACAGCAGCAUAUGAGCUAAGAUAUUUUGUUCAUUCACA
Long non-coding RNA from Notothenia coriiceps (black rockcod), 2812 nucleotides. RefSeq lists it as uncharacterized. The record is from RefSeq and is a predicted model, not a curated record. Lineage: Eukaryota; Metazoa; Chordata; Actinopteri; Perciformes; Nototheniidae. The transcript is spliced from 2 exons.